GAUGAACGCUAGCGGCAGGCUUAACACAUGCAAGUCGAGGGGUAUAGCACUUCGGUGCUAGAGACCGGCGCACGGGUGCGUAACGCGUAUGCAAUCUACCUUUUACAGAGGGAUAGCCCAGAGAAAUUUGGAUUAAUACCUCAUAGUAUUAUGAAUGGCAUCAUUUUAUAAUUAAAGUCACAACGGUAAAAGAUGAGCAU
This 200-nucleotide ribosomal RNA is filed under the name uncultured bacterium. Its description in RNAcentral is "partial 16S ribosomal RNA". It matches the Rfam family "Bacterial small subunit ribosomal RNA", at positions 28 to 232 of the family's 1533-position model. The record is from RNAcentral.